CUCAAGAUGAGAUCUCACUGGGAACUUGAUUCCCCUGAAGGGCCGUCGAAGACUACGACGUUGAUAGGCUGGGUGUGUAAGCGUUGUGAGGCGUUGAGCUAACCAGUACUAAUUGCCCGUGAGGCUUGACCAUAUAACACCCAAACA
RNAcentral lists this ribosomal RNA (147 nucleotides) under Pseudomonas aeruginosa. Its description in RNAcentral is "partial 23S ribosomal RNA". It matches the Rfam family "Bacterial large subunit ribosomal RNA", at positions 2798 to 2925 of the family's 2925-position model. The record is from RNAcentral. Lineage: Bacteria; Pseudomonadati; Pseudomonadota; Gammaproteobacteria; Pseudomonadales; Pseudomonadaceae.